GGGGUAAUGGCUACCAAGGCAUCGACGGGUAGCUGGUCUGAGAGGAUGAUCAGCCACACUGGGACUGAGACACGGCCCAGACUCCUACGGGAGGCAGCAGUGGGGAAUCUUGCACAAUGGGCGCAAGCCUGAUGCAGCAACGCCGCGUGCGGGAAGAAGGCCUUAGGGUUGUAAACCGCUUUCAGUAGGGAAGAAAAUGACGGUACCUACAGAAGAAGGUGCGGCCAACUACGUGCCAGCAGCCGCGGUAACACGUAGGCACCAAGCGUUAUCCGGAUUUAUUGGGCGUAAAGAGCUCGUAGGCGGUUCAGUCAGUCGGGUGUGAAAACUUGAGGCUUAACCUCAAGAGGUCACUCGAUACUACUGUGACUAGAGUGCGGUAGGGGAGCGGGGAAUUCCUGGUGUAGCGGUGAAAUGCGCAGAUAUCAGGAGGAACACCAGUGGCGAAGGCGCCGCUCUGGGCCGUAACUGACGCUGAGGAGCGAAAGCAUGGGUAGCAAACAGGAUUAGAUACCCUGGUAGUCCAUGCCGUAAACGUUGGGCACUAGGUGUG
Molecule: ribosomal RNA, 553 nt
Filed under: uncultured Actinomycetes bacterium
Lineage: Bacteria; Bacillati; Actinomycetota; Actinomycetes
Description: bacterial SSU rRNA
Rfam family: Bacterial small subunit ribosomal RNA
Source: RNAcentral